CGCGUAGGUGGUUGCGUCAGUCGGAUGUGAAAUCCCCAGGCUUAACCUGAGAACUGCAUCCGAUACUGCGUGACUCGAGUGCAGCAGAGGGAAACGGAAUUCCUGGUGUAGAGGUGAAAUUCGUAGAUAUCAGGAGGAACACCGGUGGCGAAGGCGGUUUCCUGGGCUGACACUGACACUGAGGCGCGAAAGCGUGGGUAGCAAACAGGAUUAGAUACCCUGGUAGUCCACGCUGUAAACGGUGAGUGCUGGGUGUGGGAGGUGUAAUGCCUUCUGUGCCGAAGCUAACGCGUUAAGCACUCCGCCUGGGGAGUACGGCCGCAAGGUUGAA
RNAcentral lists this ribosomal RNA (331 nucleotides) under uncultured bacterium. Its description in RNAcentral is "bacterial SSU rRNA". It matches the Rfam family "Bacterial small subunit ribosomal RNA", at positions 568 to 898 of the family's 1533-position model. The record is from RNAcentral.